This 254-nucleotide ribosomal RNA is filed under the name Salmonella enterica subsp. enterica serovar Kentucky. RNAcentral describes it as "partial 16S ribosomal RNA". It matches the Rfam family "Bacterial small subunit ribosomal RNA", at positions 394 to 524 of the family's 1533-position model. Lineage: Bacteria; Pseudomonadati; Pseudomonadota; Gammaproteobacteria; Enterobacterales; Enterobacteriaceae. The record is from RNAcentral.
AUGCCGCGUGUAUGAAGAAGGCCUUCGGGUUGUAAAGUACUUUCAGCGGGGAGGAAGGUGUUGUGGUUAAUAACCGCAGCAAUUGACGUUACCCGCAGAAGAAGCACCGGCUAACUCCGUGCCAGCAUCCAUCUGGCGCUUACUCCUCUGGGCGGCGGAUUACUACCACCAUCCCCUCGGCGACGUUCUGUUUCACGCUCUGCCGGUUUUAUUGCGUCAGGGAAAACCAGCCAGCAACGCGCCCCUAUGGUAUU